GACGAACGCUGGCGGCGUGCUUAACACAUGCAAGUCGAACGGAAAGGCGCUGCUUUUGUGGGGUGCUCGAGUGGCGAACGGGUGAGUAACACGUGAGUAACCUGCCCUUGACUUUGGGAUAACUUCAGGAAACUGGGGCUCAUACCGGAUAGGAGCUCCUGCUGCAUGGUGGGCGUUGGAAAGUUUCGGCGGUUGGGGAUGGACUCGCGGCUUAUCAGCUUGUUGGUGGGGUAGUGGCUUACCACGGCUUUGACGGGUAGCCGACCUGAGAGGGGGACCGGCGACAUUGGGACUGAGGGACGGACCAGACGCCUACGGGAGGCAACAGUCGGAAGUAUUGCACAAUGAGCGGAAGCCUGAGGCAGAGGCCCCCGGUGCGGAAAGACGGCCUUCUGGUGAUAAACAGCUUUCGCCUGAGACGAAGCGUGAGUGACGGUACUGGAUAAAGAAGCACCGGCUAACUACGUG
Molecule: ribosomal RNA, 468 nt
Filed under: uncultured bacterium
Lineage: Bacteria
Description: partial 16S ribosomal RNA
Rfam family: Bacterial small subunit ribosomal RNA
Source: RNAcentral